AGCUCAGAUGAUGCUUUGGCGUUC
This 24-nucleotide non-coding RNA is filed under the name Rattus norvegicus (Norway rat). The record is from RNAcentral. Lineage: Eukaryota; Metazoa; Chordata; Mammalia; Rodentia; Muridae.